UACGUAGGUGGCAAGCGUUGUCCGGAAUUAUUGGGCGUAAAGCGCGCGCAGGUGGUUUAAUAAGUCUGAUGUGAAAGCCCACGGCUCAACCGUGGAGGGUCAUUGGAAACUGUUAAACUUGAGUGCAGGAGAGAAAAGUGGAAUUCCUAGUGUAGCGGUGAAAUGCGUAGAGAUUAGGAGGAACACCAGUGGCGAAGGCGGCUUUUUGGCCUGUAACUGACACUGAGGCGCGAAAGCGUGGGGAGCAAACAGGAUUAGAUACCCUGGUAGUCCACGCCGUAAACGAUGAGUGCUAAGUGUUGGUCUCAUAAGAGAUCAGUGCUGCAGCUAACGCAUUAAGCACUCCGCCUGGGGAGUACGACCGCAAGGUUGAA
RNAcentral lists this ribosomal RNA (374 nucleotides) under uncultured bacterium. Its description in RNAcentral is "bacterial SSU rRNA". It matches the Rfam family "Bacterial small subunit ribosomal RNA", at positions 524 to 898 of the family's 1533-position model. The record is from RNAcentral.